RNAcentral lists this ribosomal RNA (462 nucleotides) under uncultured Desulfobacteraceae bacterium. Its description in RNAcentral is "bacterial SSU rRNA". It matches the Rfam family "Bacterial small subunit ribosomal RNA", at positions 920 to 1382 of the family's 1533-position model. The record is from RNAcentral. Lineage: Bacteria; Pseudomonadati; Thermodesulfobacteriota; Desulfobacteria; Desulfobacterales; Desulfobacteraceae.
CCCGCACAAGCGGUGGAGCAUGUGGUUUAAUUCGGCGCAACGCGAAGAACCUUACCUGGAUUUGACAUCCCGGGAAUCUUUCUGAAAGGAUUGAGUGCCCUUCGGGAGCCCGGUGACAGGUGCUGCAUGGCUGUCGUCAGCUCGUGUCGUGAGAUGUUGGGUUAAGUCCCGCAACGAGCGCAACCCUUAUCUUUAGUUACCAUCAUUAAGUUGGGGACUCUAAAGAUACUGCCCCGGUUAACGGGGAGGAAGGUGGGGAUGACGUCAAGUCCUCAUGGCCUUUAUGUCCAGGGCUACACACGUGCUACAAUGGGUUGUACAAAGGGUUGCGAACUCGCGAGAGUAAGCCAAUCCCAAAAAGCAACUCUUAGUUCGGAUUGGAGUCUGCAACUCGACUCCAUGAAGCUGGAAUCGCUAGUAAUCGUGGAUCAGCACGCCACGGUGAAUACGUUCCCGGGCCUU